RNAcentral lists this unclassified non-coding RNA (328 nucleotides) under soil metagenome. RNAcentral's name for it is "partial contains 5.8S ribosomal RNA, internal transcribed spacer 2, and large subunit ribosomal RNA". The stretch from base 3 to 121 matches the Rfam family "5.8S ribosomal RNA", at positions 36 to 154 of the family's 154-position model. The record is from RNAcentral.
GAAUGAAGAACGUAGCGAAAUGCGAUAAGUAAUGUGAAUUGCAGAAUUCAGUGAAUCAUCGAAUCUUUGAACGCACAUUGCGCCCCUUGGUAUUCCGGGGGGCAUGCCUGUUCGAGCGUCAUUAUAACCCCUCAAGCUCAGCUUGGUGUUGGGGCCUGCCAACUGGCAGCCCUUAAAAUCAGUGGCGGCGCCAUCUGGCUCUAAGCGUAGUAAUUUCUCUCGCUAUAGGGUCCCGGUGGAUGCUGGCCAACAACCCCCAAUUUUCUAUGGUUGACCUCGGAUCAGGUAGGGAUACCCGCUGAACUUAAGCAUAUCAAUAAGCGGAGGA